AUGCAUUCCACCAUAUACUCAACAAACAAUAUUGAACACCUACUAUGUUCUGGGUGUGUGGCAGGCUCUAGGGAUAUAAUAAUGAAGCCACAGUCCCUGUUGUCGCAGGCACUCAAGCUCAGAGAGAGAAAAAGGAAGAGAAUGAGAAACAGUGUUUGCCAAAUAGUCCUCCAAAAAUGUGUCACAGUACUCGGUGAAGGGCUUGAGAAUGAAUGUUUUCCACAUCCUCAUUGGCUCUGUCAUCAAAGGUGUCCCAUUUCUGGACUGGAAACUCUUAGAACAAGGAGCAACAUAUACAUCUCUGUACUUUUUCAAGGCAAGGAUCGUAUCUCAGACAAGUUCCCAAGCCUGAUGCCCAGUGCAGCACCCUAA
RNAcentral lists this long non-coding RNA (372 nucleotides) under Sus scrofa (pig). RNAcentral's name for it is "lncRNA (ENSSSCG00070004234.1)". The record is from RNAcentral. Lineage: Eukaryota; Metazoa; Chordata; Mammalia; Artiodactyla; Suidae.